UAACCCUCCCGGCUCUGGUUUGCAAACUGAAAGGAGGUUUAACCCCUUAAGACUUCCCCGGCCCUAAAUGCUUGCCAGGAACACAGAGCUGAACAGCAUCUUGGGGUGGGGGUGGGGUUACCAUCCUUCUACCACCCCCGAGUCCUUCUGCUCCGCGGAGGCUUUUCGAAAGCUGUGUUUUUAAUAGAGCUUUUCAGCAAGCCCAAGUGUAAGGCUUUGAGUCAUCAAAACCCGGAUGUAAACACAGCAGCCCUACAUUCUGCACAGUUUGCGUGUAUUUUAUCUUUUUAAUAAUAUUUAGCUGGCAACUUAAAACUGCAAGCAUGCCAGAUAUUUUAGCCAGCCACUUACAUCAUGCAGCCUCCAUCUUAGGGAGAGUAGUUGCCUGUCCUUGCCUUGUUUCUCAGGUCCCCGCCCCACACUGCAGGCAGUCUGGGUCCUUCUGCAGGAAGGCAUUUUGCUGCAGCUUAGCAAAUCCAGCCCCUUAGAACAUGACAUCAGCUUGGGCAACAAAGAUAGAGGACGGGUUCCUGUCAGAGACAAGACAUUGGGUGAGUCAAGUUGCCCUGGCUCUGUACUGGGCUUUCUACAGGAUGCCGAAGGAAGGACCUGGAGGAAGCCGGGACAAUGGCUAUCACAGGACGCAGAUGCCAGGGACAGGAAAGAAGAGAAAAUGAAGGACUAGAGAGAUGGCUCAGAGGUUAAGAGCACUGGCUGCCCUUCCAGAAGUCCUGAGUUCAAUUCCCAGCACCAACAUGGUGGCUCACAACUGUCUACAAUGAGAUCUGAUGCCUUCUUCUGUCGGGCAGGCAUGCAUGCAGAC
This 823-nucleotide long non-coding RNA is filed under the name Cricetulus griseus (Chinese hamster). RNAcentral's name for it is "lncRNA (ENSCGRG00015040082.1)". The record is from RNAcentral. Lineage: Eukaryota; Metazoa; Chordata; Mammalia; Rodentia; Cricetidae.